UGUAUUUGAAGUGGAAUAUUUGGCAGAAACAGCUGAAAGCCUUGACACAUUUCAAAAGCUGGAGUUUUGUGUUCUUCCUGCAUGAAGGUGGAGUUGGGUGCCUUUUACUGUAGGUAGCGUACUGUCAAAUUUCAGGCCCCCUACAUCCGAU
Molecule: long non-coding RNA, 151 nt
Organism: Mobula hypostoma (lesser devil ray)
Lineage: Eukaryota; Metazoa; Chordata; Chondrichthyes; Myliobatiformes; Myliobatidae
Exons: 3
Source: RefSeq, a predicted model, not a curated record